AGAAAGCAUAUAUAUGAAUAUGCCUCAUAUGUGUAUUUAGGAACAACAACUCUCAGCUUCCUUCCUGGUUGAAAAACCAGUUGGCAUGCCUGUAGCCACACCUGGAAAGGCUCAGCCCCCAGCCAAGGCUCACUGACUGUCCUCCUGCAGAAAAUCCUCAAUGCUUGCUCUCCCUCCCCAUUCUGCAUGUCUCUCUCCAGAAGUGGCCUUGCUGAUGCUGAGCAGAGGCAGGAUGGCACGUUGCUCCUGUGUGAAGCACCUCUUCUAUGCAGCUGGAGCUUUCUGCAGCCUUCCCUUGGGAAGUCAUGUCGAGAAGGUUAUUCAUGACAGUUCUGACAGCCUUUCUCCUGCCUUGUACAAGAAAUGUGAAACAGCCCCAUCAAAAACUUCUAAUUUUGAUAAAUUAAUUGUCUCCCCGUAGAGUGACCGAUUACAGGAGAUACUGUGAAGCACGCUUGCUCAUUUCAGAAUGCCCCAAAUUCAUUAGCUAUUCCACUUGAGUUAUGAGUUAGUGAGCCACACGAAGAGAAUGUGUUUGGAAUAACUCUUUGCAGCUCUAGUGUUUUUAAAUAGGCAGCAAACAAUGUACCAUUCCCUCCUAUUCAGUUGUUUGUUUUAUUUUUCAUGUGAAAAGAGAAUGUAAUCAGCUUUCCUAUUAUAGAAAAAGAUGAGGAUAAAGUGCCCAUUGUUAAACCAUGUCUGCUGGCAUCUCCUUAUUUUCACAUAACAAUGGUUAUUUUCUAAAUCUUCUAUUUCCUGUUAACCUGUGUGUGUGUGUUUGGUUACUGUUUUUUCUACCGUGAUUUCUCUAAAGUAGCUCCCUAAAAUCACUGUGACAGCAUUUUGCUGUGUAUAUUCUUCUCUUGUUUUGUAGGCAGGGGUGGCUUUCUUGCUUGUAAAUUAUUCAAGAAGCUGAGCAGGGCUCUUACUAUGGGACCAGAAUGGAUCUGUCUAUCUCCCUUAUAUCUUCUAUGGAAAUUGUCUACUGUGAGAAGCCUGCACCACAGUUCCCUGUGCUUUCAGUGUCAGAAAUGCUACAAGAACACAUAGAGACACAGCAGUAGGUGAUUCUGCUCUAUGGGGGUCAAGUGUUGCACUCAGCCCUUGUGGAGCACUGCGGAUCCUGAGUACCCCUGCCUCAGCCCUGGCUUGUACCCAGAUAUUUUUGUUCCAGUUCCAAUGCCAAGAUAAAGACAGAGGUUAGACAGAAGACAGAAAAGCAGUGAAUUUUUGGACAGCCUCUUGCCUCUUGGCCCGAAUGGUAAUGCAGCCACGCAGGAUCAUUAAAAGCCCAUUGUGUGAGGAUGUAAGCACUCUGAUACUCACAUAUCUACUGCUAAUCCAAAGACUGUGAGACUGCAAGACUGCCUGAAAAAGAUGUGGCAAAAAAUCAGUAGGCACCAGGAGGUGGAGUAAAGACA
RNAcentral lists this long non-coding RNA (1421 nucleotides) under Phasianus colchicus (ring-necked pheasant). Its description in RNAcentral is "lncRNA (ENSPCLG00000015461.1)". The record is from RNAcentral. Lineage: Eukaryota; Metazoa; Chordata; Aves; Galliformes; Phasianidae.